This is a long non-coding RNA of Brachypodium distachyon (stiff brome), 1478 nucleotides long. RefSeq lists it as uncharacterized. The record is from RefSeq and is a predicted model, not a curated record. The transcript has 2 exons. NCBI's taxonomy places the organism in Eukaryota, Viridiplantae, Streptophyta, Magnoliopsida, Poales, Poaceae.
CGUAGAACAUAGGUCUAGGCCAUCUGUAAUUCUCUUUAGAGGUCGUUGUCGUGCCGCGGAUACAUGACCUGAUACAUCUUCCAUUCUCUUUACAUUGAUGUCCCAUGUUUGAUCAUCUUUUUUUUUUCUCUGCUGCUAGUCUUGCAUUCAGAAGACGUUCUCAAUCCAAAAUGAAAUCAGACAAGGGUCCUGGUGCUAUAUAUGUAUAGUGGCAACCACUGAAUCUGGGGCUACACAAUGAUGGCUAGCUUUUGUGAUAAGUCGGGGCCCAGUGUUGGCGUCGAUCGGUUUCACUGUAUAUGCUGGUUCAGCAAUCACAGUACAAUCAUCUCUGCUUCUGCUAUUAUGAAGUCUGGACGUACCUUGGAAUGCAAGGGAAGAAGAAAUUAACACGUGUUUUGGUUUCUUGUGAUUUGAUUUGAUUUGAUUUGAUUUUGAUCCCCUGCAUAGAAAAGGAAGGCAGUUGGCUAGUGAUGAUGCAUGGAGAGGCACACUGUAACAUGAGUUUUAGGUUUGCCACUCCUUAAUCCUUAUCUCUCAGUUCCUUUGUAAAAGAAAUGCAAGUGUUUCUUUGAUUUGUUUGUAGAAAAUUGGAGAUUUUGAGAACUGGAUGAAGGUCAUGGAGUUUGACUGUAAAAGUAUCAAUGCUGCAAUCCAGAACAUUCAUCAGUCAUGAUUCUGCUGCAAUCCGAUUCAUUGAUAGAUGACUGAAAGUAUGGUUUCAUCUGUUGGAGAACUGUAAUGAAAGGUACACGGCUUGUGUAACAUGAGUUUGCCGCUCUUUUUGUCGUCCUGAUAAAUAAAGAAGAAAAAGAUCUUCCAAGACGGUUACUACAGGGGGAGGCACAGGUAGCUCUCAGUGCACAUAUCUGCUGGAUUGUGCAAGAGCUGAGAGCUCCUUCACUGCUCCCUCCAAUACCUUGACCUGGGACACUGCCGAGGGUCAUCUUCUUGAGGUGGGCCAGGAUGUCAAGCCUACACUGUUCUCUGUCCCGGCACACACCUGGUGGGGAAUGCAUUAGCUAGUUGUGGAGGCGUUCAGGAGAUGGUUUCUGCUUCUGACAAUGAACUCGGUGGGUUGGUUUCAUUUUCAGCGAUCGUGUCCAGCCUCGAUGGUGGCCGGCGCCGGCAGCGCCGACGUACGCCAGCGCCAACGUCGACAAGGCGUGCGCCGGCAAGCCGUACCCGGACACCUGCGUCUCCGUGCUGUACUGCUGUCCUUCUUCCUAGGCAGCAAAGACGCGGAAGCUCGCGCGCUGGCCGCCAUGGCGUCUACGCCGCCCACAACCUCUUGGUCCGCCGAUCAGCUGUCCGGCCAUGGCGUGUCCAAUGCCACGGCAACGUCCUGCCUUGAAGCGUGCAGGCUCAGGAUGCAAGACGCGUCCGAUUUCAUAUUUGAACAAAUUUGACUCACUUGAUAUGAGACGGAGGAAAAGCAAUUUCGAGAAUAACAAUUCAAUGAAUGAUUUCAGAAUAUA